GAUGAACGCUGGCGGCGUGCCUAAUACAUGCAAGUCGAGCGAACAGACGAGGAGCUUGCUCCUCUGACGUUAGCGGCGGACGGGUGAGUAACACGUGGAUAACCUACCUAUAAGACUGGGAUAACUUCGGGAAACCGGAGCUAAUACCGGAUAAUAUAUUGAACCGCAUGGUUCAAUAGUGAAAGACGGUUUUGCUGUCACUUAUAGAUGGAUCCGCGCCGCAUUAGCUAGUUGGUAAGGUAACGGCUUACCAAGGCAACGAUGCGUAGCCGACCUGAGAGGGUGAUCGGCCACACUGGAACUGAGACACGGGCCAGACUCCUACGGGAGGCAGCAGUAGGGAAUCUUCCGCAAUGGGCGAAAGCCUGACGGAGCAACGCCGCGUGAGUGAUGAAGGUCUUCGGAUCGUAAAACUCUGUUAUUAGGGAAGAACAAAUGUGUAAGUAACUAUGCAAGUCUUGAAGGUACCUAAUCAGAAAGCCACGGCUAACUACGUG
RNAcentral lists this ribosomal RNA (497 nucleotides) under uncultured bacterium. RNAcentral describes it as "partial 16S ribosomal RNA". It matches the Rfam family "Bacterial small subunit ribosomal RNA", at positions 28 to 507 of the family's 1533-position model. The record is from RNAcentral.